Long non-coding RNA from Salvia miltiorrhiza (redroot sage), 680 nucleotides. RefSeq lists it as uncharacterized. The record is from RefSeq and is a predicted model, not a curated record. The transcript has 3 exons. NCBI's taxonomy places the organism in Eukaryota, Viridiplantae, Streptophyta, Magnoliopsida, Lamiales, Lamiaceae.
CUACAUGAUCAACAUUCAUACCCCAAUGCCCUAGCUACCCCUCCUCUCUCUUCUAUAACCUAAUUCCCUACAAUUUCUAUAUAUAUAGCUGCUGCUACCUGCUAUGCAUAAUUACUAGCUCAAAUAUAUACAUACUACAAUCCUCUAGAGAGAGAAAGAGAGAUAAUAUAUUACUAAUAAAAAUGGAGAUUGUGGCUGAGCAGAUGUGCUACAUCCCUUGCAACUUCUGCAGUAUUAUUCUUGCGGGGUUAUGAUAAGGAAGAUAACGGCUGCUCGAGCUUAUGAUUAGCACCAAUGAAGUAUUGGGGAACUACCACAACAACAAAUUUUCCGAUGAGUAACUAUGAGAAAGAGAUUGAGGAAAUGAAGCAUAUGACAAGGCAGGAAUAUGUAGCAUCUUUGAGAAGGUGCAGAAGCCUACGACAUCGCCGCGAUCAAAUUUCGAGGCCUAAACGCCGUCAUCAACUUGGAAAUAAACCGUUACGACGUGAAGAGCAUACUCGAGAGCACGACCCUAGUCUAGUUGAUUGAUGGAAAUUUCCAGUGCCUUCUUUUUCUAUUUUGGGUUAGGCUGAGAAAUUAUUUAAUAACUUUUAAAAAAAAAAAAAGGUUUUGUUGGGAGAGUUCGAUGGACUUUUGUGGUAUUUAGAGAAAAUAAUAAACAAAUUAAGUAAACUGCA